This 97-nucleotide non-coding RNA is filed under the name human gut metagenome. RNAcentral describes it as "SAM riboswitch (S box leader)". It matches the Rfam family "SAM riboswitch aptamer (S box leader)". From Rfam's summary of the family: The SAM riboswitch is found upstream of a number of genes which code for proteins involved in methionine or cysteine biosynthesis in Gram-positive bacteria. The SAM riboswitch acts at the level of transcription termination control. RNAcentral also lists the same sequence under 1 other name. The record is from RNAcentral.
UCUCAUCAAGAGUAGUGGAGGGAAAGGCCCUGUGAAGCUACAGCAACCAUUCCUGAUGGAAGAGGUGCUAAAUCCAACGAUAUUUGAUCGGAAGAUG